UACAGAGGGGGCAAGCGUUAUUCGGAAUUAUUGGGCGUAAAGGGCGCGUAGGCGGCUUGGCAAGUGGAUGGUGAAAUCCCUCGGCUUAACCGAGGAACUGCCGUCCAAACUGCUUCGCUUGAGGCCGGGAGAGGUGAGUGGAAUUCCCAGUGUAGCGGUGAAAUGCGUAGAUAUUGGGAGGAACACCAGUGGCGAAGGCGGCUCACUGGACCGGUACUGACGCUGAAGCGCGAAAGCGUGGGGAGCAAACAGG
RNAcentral lists this ribosomal RNA (253 nucleotides) under uncultured bacterium. RNAcentral describes it as "partial 16S ribosomal RNA". It matches the Rfam family "Bacterial small subunit ribosomal RNA", at positions 524 to 776 of the family's 1533-position model. The record is from RNAcentral.